This 22-nucleotide microRNA is filed under the name Caenorhabditis brenneri. RNAcentral's name for it is "cbn-miR-36". Its record names the gene cbn-miR-36. Lineage: Eukaryota; Metazoa; Nematoda; Chromadorea; Rhabditida; Rhabditidae. The record is from miRBase by way of RNAcentral.
ACACCGGGUAAAAACUAGCUCG